Molecule: ribosomal RNA, 498 nt
Filed under: uncultured bacterium
Lineage: Bacteria
Description: partial 16S ribosomal RNA
Rfam family: Bacterial small subunit ribosomal RNA
Source: RNAcentral
AUUGAACGCUGGCGGCAUGCCUUACACAUGCAAGUCGAACGGUAACAGGUCUUCGGAUGCUGACGAGUGGCGAACGGGUGAGUAAUACAUCGGAACGUGCCUAGUAGUGGGGGAUAACUACUCGAAAGAGUGGCUAAUACCGCAUGAGCUCUACGGAUGAAAGCAGGGUAUCGCAAGACCUUGUGCUCCUAGAGCGGCCGGUGGCAGAUUCGGUAGUUGGUGGGAUAAAAGCUAACAAAGCCGACGAUCUGUAGCUGGUCAGAGAGGACGAUCAGCCACACGGAGACUGAGACACGGCCCAGACUCCUACGGGAGGCAGCAGUGGGGAAUUUUGGACAAUGGGCGAAAGCCUGAUCCAGCAAUGCCGCGUGCAGGAUGAAGGCCUUCGGGUUGUAAACUGCUUUUGUACGGAACGAAAAGCCCCGGGUUAAUACCCUGGGGUCAUGACGGUACCGUAAGAAUAAGCACCGGCUAACUACGUGCCAGCCGCCGCCGUAA